Molecule: ribosomal RNA, 253 nt
Filed under: uncultured bacterium
Lineage: Bacteria
Description: partial 16S ribosomal RNA
Rfam family: Bacterial small subunit ribosomal RNA
Source: RNAcentral
GACGAACCGUGCGACCGUUGUUCGGAAUCACUGGGCAUAAAGGGCGCGUAGGCGGCUUUUCAAGUCAGGGGUGAAAUCCGGCAGCUCAACUGUCGAAGUGCCCUUGAUACUGAUGAGCUCGAGGGAGGUAGGGGUAUGUGGAACUUCCGGUGGAGCGGUGAAAUGCGUUGAUAUCGGAAGGAACGCCGGUGGCGAAAGCGACGUACUGGACCUCUUCUGACGCUGAGGCGCGAAAGCUAGGGGAGCAAACGGG